This 2910-nucleotide ribosomal RNA is filed under the name Staphylococcus aureus subsp. aureus ST228. Its description in RNAcentral is "bacterial LSU rRNA". It matches the Rfam family "Bacterial large subunit ribosomal RNA". Lineage: Bacteria; Bacillati; Bacillota; Bacilli; Caryophanales; Staphylococcaceae. The record is from RNAcentral.
UUAAGGGCGCACGGUGGAUGCCUUGGCACUAGAAGCCGAUGAAGGACGUUACUAACGACGAUAUGCUUUGGGGAGCUGUAAGUAAGCUUUGAUCCAGAGAUUUCCGAAUGGGGAAACCCAGCAUGAGUUAUGUCAUGUUAUCGAUAUGUGAAUACAUAGCAUAUCAGAAGGCACACCCGGAGAACUGAAACAUCUUAGUACCCGGAGGAAGAGAAAGAAAAUUCGAUUCCCUUAGUAGCGGCGAGCGAAACGGGAAGAGCCCAAACCAACAAGCUUGCUUGUUGGGGUUGUAGGACACUCUAUACGGAGUUACAAAGGACGACAUUAGACGAAUCAUCUGGAAAGAUGAAUCAAAGAAGGUAAUAAUCCUGUAGUCGAAAAUGUUGUCUCUCUUGAGUGGAUCCUGAGUACGACGGAGCACGUGAAAUUCCGUCGGAAUCUGGGAGGACCAUCUCCUAAGGCUAAAUACUCUCUAGUGACCGAUAGUGAACCAGUACCGUGAGGGAAAGGUGAAAAGCACCCCGGAAGGGGAGUGAAAUAGAACCUGAAACCGUGUGCUUACAAGUAGUCAGAGCCCGUUAAUGGGUGAUGGCGUGCCUUUUGUAGAAUGAACCGGCGAGUUACGAUUUGAUGCAAGGUUAAGCAGUAAAUGUGGAGCCGUAGCGAAAGCGAGUCUGAAUAGGGCGUUUAGUAUUUGGUCGUAGACCCGAAACCAGGUGAUCUACCCUUGGUCAGGUUGAAGUUCAGGUAACACUGAAUGGAGGACCGAACCGACUUACGUUGAAAAGUGAGCGGAUGAACUGAGGGUAGCGGAGAAAUUCCAAUCGAACCUGGAGAUAGCUGGUUCUCUCCGAAAUAGCUUUAGGGCUAGCCUCAAGUGAUGAUUAUUGGAGGUAGAGCACUGUUUGGACGAGGGGCCCCUCUCGGGUUACCGAAUUCAGACAAACUCCGAAUGCCAAUUAAUUUAACUUGGGAGUCAGAACAUGGGUGAUAAGGUCCGUGUUCGAAAGGGAAACAGCCCAGACCACCAGCUAAGGUCCCAAAAUAUAUGUUAAGUGGAAAAGGAUGUGGCGUUGCCCAGACAACUAGGAUGUUGGCUUAGAAGCAGCCAUCAUUUAAAGAGUGCGUAAUAGCUCACUAGUCGAGUGACACUGCGCCGAAAAUGUACCGGGGCUAAACAUAUUACCGAAGCUGUGGAUUGUCCUUUGGACAAUGGUAGGAGAGCGUUCUAAGGGCGUUGAAGCAUGAUCGUAAGGACAUGUGGAGCGCUUAGAAGUGAGAAUGCCGGUGUGAGUAGCGAAAGACGGGUGAGAAUCCCGUCCACCGAUUGACUAAGGUUUCCAGAGGAAGGCUCGUCCGCUCUGGGUUAGUCGGGUCCUAAGCUGAGGCCGACAGGCGUAGGCGAUGGAUAACAGGUUGAUAUUCCUGUACCACCUAUAAUCGUUUUAAUCGAUGGGGGGACGCAGUAGGAUAGGCGAAGCGUGCGAUUGGAUUGCACGUCUAAGCAGUAAGGCUGAGUAUUAGGCAAAUCCGGUACUCGUUAAGGCUGAGCUGUGAUGGGGAGAAGACAUAUGUCUUCGAGUCGUUGAUUUCACACUGCCGAGAAAAGCCUCUAGAUAGAAAAUAGGUGCCCGUACCGCAAACCGACACAGGUAGUCAAGAUGAGAAUUCUAAGGUGAGCGAGCGAACUCUCGUUAAGGAACUCGGCAAAAUGACCCCGUAACUUCGGGAGAAGGGGUGCUCUUUAGGGUUAACGCCCAGAAGAGCCGCAGUGAAUAGGCCCAAGCGACUGUUUAUCAAAAACACAGGUCUCUGCUAAACCGUAAGGUGAUGUAUAGGGGCUGACGCCUGCCCGGUGCUGGAAGGUUAAGAGGAGUGGUUAGCUUCUGCGAAGCUACGAAUCGAAGCCCCAGUAAACGGCGGCCGUAACUAUAACGGUCCUAAGGUAGCGAAAUUCCUUGUCGGGUAAGUUCCGACCCGCACGAAAGGCGUAACGAUUUGGGCACUGUCUCAACGAGAGACUCGGUGAAAUCAUAGUACCUGUGAAGAUGCAGGUUACCCGCGACAGGACGGAAAGACCCCGUGGAGCUUUACUGUAGCCUGAUAUUGAAAUUCGGCACAGCUUGUACAGGAUAGGUAGGAGCCUUUGAAACGUGAGCGCUAGCUUACGUGGAGGCGCUGGUGGGAUACUACCCUAGCUGUGUUGGCUUUCUAACCCGCACCACUUAUCGUGGUGGGAGACAGUGUCAGGCGGGCAGUUUGACUGGGGCGGUCGCCUCCUAAAAGGUAACGGAGGCGCUCAAAGGUUCCCUCAGAAUGGUUGGAAAUCAUUCAUAGAGUGUAAAGGCAUAAGGGAGCUUGACUGCGAGACCUACAAGUCGAGCAGGGUCGAAAGACGGACUUAGUGAUCCGGUGGUUCCGCAUGGAAGGGCCAUCGCUCAACGGAUAAAAGCUACCCCGGGGAUAACAGGCUUAUCUCCCCCAAGAGUUCACAUCGACGGGGAGGUUUGGCACCUCGAUGUCGGCUCAUCGCAUCCUGGGGCUGUAGUCGGUCCCAAGGGUUGGGCUGUUCGCCCAUUAAAGCGGUACGCGAGCUGGGUUCAGAACGUCGUGAGACAGUUCGGUCCCUAUCCGUCGUGGGCGUAGGAAAUUUGAGAGGAGCUGUCCUUAGUACGAGAGGACCGGGAUGGACAUACCUCUGGUGUACCAGUUGUCGUGCCAACGGCAUAGCUGGGUAGCUAUGUGUGGACGGGAUAAGUGCUGAAAGCAUCUAAGCAUGAAGCCCCCCUCAAGAUGAGAUUUCCCAACUUCGGUUAUAAGAUCCCUCAAAGAUGAUGAGGUUAAUAGGUUCGAGGUGGAAGCAUGGUGACAUGUGGAGCUGACGAAUACUAAUCGAUCGAAGACUUAAUC